RNAcentral lists this long non-coding RNA (23865 nucleotides) under Malus domestica (apple). RNAcentral's name for it is "long non-coding RNA (MDOM_LNC007933)". Lineage: Eukaryota; Viridiplantae; Streptophyta; Magnoliopsida; Rosales; Rosaceae. The record is from RNAcentral.
CUCUUUUAUUCGUAAUCCUUUUGUAUUAUAAUUAGGAAACUAAAAUAUUUUAAACCCACUUCGUACUUGUCCUAGCAAAACCUAUCUAUCUCUCUAACUGGGUCUGUCAGACAUCCUCAGGCCGUUGAACGAUCGUCCACCGCUCAAACGAUCCAAGAGUCAUUGGGCUGUUAGGGACGGCUCUGAUCACUUGGUGAUGGUUCAUCCACCAGGCUGAAGUUCUCCACAGAAAUCAAGGAUACAAAUGAUAGAACAGAUCCCUAUUCAAGUAAGAUCGUGUCAAGCAAUGGCGGAAAGGACUAUAUAAAGGCUUUUGUGGUUUUGCGCAGCGUCGAUGUGGGACCGUGUUGUUGAAUUUUUCAGUUAACUACUAGCUGCCAAGGUAUUGCCUUCAAUUUCAACCACAUUGAAGCCAAUUACUGUAAAAUAAUCGAGAAUUCCAAUUCAGAAAGAUUAUACUGCCUAUAUUAAUAGGUGGCUCGAAGCUAUAUGAACAUCUAAUUGGAUGAAAAAGCAACCCUGAACUUUUUUGCUUUGCUCACAAAAUCAGAGUUUAAACAAAAUUGAAUGAGGCCUAAACGUUAUGGGUCAAACUUGGUGGGUUGUGCAGGAUUCCGAUUAUAACAUGUGUAUGGUUAAAGCACGUCAAUCACCAUGAGUGAACAUGAAAGUGCACUUAGUUAGUACUGUCCGUCAUUGUUACCUUUCGAGAUAUAUAUUUACUUGGAAUCAGUUGAAAUGAGUAUUGGAAUAAUUCUAAUUUAUGAGUCGUGAUUUUUCUGCGAUUACGUGAAUGAAGCAACACAAGCAUCCCAAGUGAGAAGACGAAUGCGCAAUGCAAGGGCGGUUGUUAGUGAGCUAGUAACGGAGCUUAAAGGCCAUGAGGACCAAGGACGAAAGUCGGGUUUAGUGAGACCUCGGACUCGAGAGAAACAAAGGAAGCUAAGAGGCAUGAAUUCCCCAAAGGCUAGAGAUCGAGCUGCGACGACCACAGAGGGUACAACGACGGGAACCAAAGUUGGCAAGAGCCAAAGGUGACAACAAGAGUUCGCAAUGAGCCAACACAGCACGAGGGCCAACAGACAAAGAAGCAAAAAUGGAAGCCUUGAAGGCUCCGAACGACACAAGGCCAUGAGUCAAAGGCCAACAUACAUUACAUUUUGCAGAUGCAGACUUAAAAUAGUUGUACAAACUAAACGGAGGUUAAGGUAAUAUGAUUAUAUUGCUUUCAAAACAUAUCCUCACGAGUCACAACCAAACUACAUAAGAACAUCGCAGUCGGUCUCGGUUUUACAUUUACAUACCCAACAUAGGAAACAUAUAAUCUCGCCGAGCAAGAACUCAGUUCUAUUCAAUUAGGUAUAUUUUAUGCAUACGCCAACAAAGGCCGCUUGGUCACCAACCAUCUCCAUUCCUUGCUUCCGGGGGCAGUCUUCAGUCCUGUGCUCAUAACGCUUCCCACAAAUCUUACAAUAAUUCGGAACAGCAAUACCAACCCAAUCGUUCGUACCAGGAUGGCAACCCUCUUUUUUACAGCAUGUACAAAUUAGAGUAGCGCCACGCCCAACUUGUUCACCCUUCGGGACAUAGUACUGAUACGUGCAAGUUGGAUUCGCAUGACUCCUUCCCGCAUGGUCUACAACUCAGGUCAGGAACUUGAGUCGAAGAGUCUGCACAAUCAUUCGGGUUAGAGUCAAGCAUGGUAAUCCUACACUUUUACCCCCAUAAACGCGUGACACGUCCAAGUAAACAUCAAUGACAACUAUUUAUUUUUUUUACCAAAUAGAGGACUAAGCUAGUACUUCAACUAGGGGGUACAACAGUGGCAGAUUCAGAUUGGAGAACAAAAGAAAAACACAAAAACCUACCAAUUUGUGGGCAGUGCUUGGUCAUGUGAUCAUUAAUCUUCUUACAGAUUACGCAAAACUUUGGAAUCUCUCCACGCGGCUCGAGUAAAAACCAUGCUCCCGUUUUUGGGUUCGUAUAUAUUUGCGAAUCCGCUGUUAAAUAAAUUCACACACUCAAAUUUAAGAUCAAAACAGGUUAAUAAAAUGUACUAUUUAGUAUUGUAUAAACUGAAAGAUUCAGAGAUUGGCACACCCUAAACAAUUACAAAAUUCUGAUCCCAUCCAAUUUUCUAUGAAUUCAGAAAUACCGAAUCCGAUUAUAUGGAUUAGGAAAUGCAUAGAAAUUCCCUUCCCAAAGUGUUUAGAUAUUGAAAGAGAAAUUUUAUUGGAACCCAUUCAACGUCUUUCCACACCCAAUACAAAAAAAAAAAUUCUUAAAAUUCCUAAUUCACCCUUUGAUUAAAACUGAAAAAAGAAAUAAACAAAACUGAAAUCUCUUUCCAUACCCGGUGGUUCUCUUCCACCUCAAACCCCACGGACAAUUCACCGGCGAUUCUCCAUGGAAACUUCAAUUUAAAUUCUUUUAGCAUCACAACCGCCUUAUAUGGCACACCAUUCAAUUUCCACAUGUUUUGACUUCGAACUGUCCAUACAAGAUAAAUGAUCCCUCUUCAGCUCAACGCCUUACUCGUCGACGACUUCGCCAUCCCUUCUCGGCCAUAGACAUUUGUGGUCCUCCACAUUGCCGGCUCUGUACCACUAGGAAACUUGUAACUAGAGAGGAAGUUCUACACCUAGGUUUUCUCAAUUUGCUUCUCCUCUGCAUUAUCAAGCACUAUGCUUCGGCUUCUUCUCUUGAUCUUCAGGUCUCCGACUGUUUGAAUGAGUUGAAGCAAACGUAGCUUCAAGUAGUUGAACGGUAGCAGAAGCACCACACUUGUCAACGUACGGCUUUUGGUCUCCAUUCUCGAUGACGUAUGCCGAAUGCCCUAACAUGGAAGUUGCAGGAAGGAGCUCCUUCUUAGCCAAGGACUACCGCGACACACCACCUGUGCAAGCUUCAAUUGAAGCCGUCCUAGGGCAUGUUUUCCGGCGAAGGGAGGGACGGCCGCCACUUCUCGCCCUCACGUUUCUUCGACUAUGCUUGUAGACCUCUGAUCCCAACAUUAUGAUUGAAGAGCGUGAGAAAUAAAGGAGGGAGAAGGACAAAUGAGUAGGGAGAUAAUACGAAAUAGGAGGUGGUUAAGAGACUCUAACGACAAGAGAUUCAGGCCGACGACAAGAGAUUCGUACAGGUAACAAAUUAAGCCUCGCAUGUCGAACUAAGGGCUAAGUUCGACCCGACUAAAGCUAAGUACAAUUUGACUAAGAAGUCUGACCAGCUCGAUAGCCCGAGAGUCAUGUGCUAUGGGCAUUCUAGUCAUUCUCGCCACCCAGCGUGCCACAUUUUAGGCUAAAAAUCAUAGUCCCAUAAAUGGUCUAACUAUGCUUCUGAGAGUGCAUUACGCUCAAUGAUGGGUAGUUACUGACAUACCACGGGUAAAUCAUUUUAGAAUGACCUUUUUUUUUUCUUUUUCGAAAUGUGUAUACCAUCGAAUUCUGUGUUUGAUUUUGAGCUAGCCAAAUUUUACUCGUCCUACUUGCUUAUUUGUCUCUAAAAAAUAUGAUCUUUCGGAGUUUCAAAUCAUAUUGUAGACUCGAUACCUUUCAUCAACCUCUAUUUUCCUUUCUUGGUUUCUCAACAAAGAAUUGUUUUGUUUGCUUUAAAAUUUAAACCUUUACUCUCACUUAAACAACUAAGUAGAAGACGGUGACUAGGUGGAUUGAGAGGAGGCUGGGGGAGAGCAGGGCGCGGGACGAGGAAAGAUAGCUGUACUGGGAGAGGAAAGAUAUAGAAAACGUAAAAGUCAUGAACUAAACUUGACUGAAAAGCUCUAGCACUCGAAAACAAUUCACCAAACCCACAUUGUAUGUGAAUAUUAAAAUUUAAUACAAUUCAUUUCCAAUCCUUCGAUCAGACAAAUUUCUUGGUCUUUAUACUUCGUCAAUCUUCUUGUUGCACUCUUCCAAAGAUCAUUUAUCAAUGUUUGGACCUGAAAAUACAUAAAAUAAAAAUAUUAACACAAGUUAAAUAAAAGAAGAGUUGUUAGUAAGUGAAAGAAUAGUUAGUAACAUGAAACUGCUAAAACAAGGAAUACCAUGAUUUCCUUUUAAUCGAUGAAAUCUACGUGACUCCUGCUAUGCAGAUCGGUUGUCAUAAUCACUUCCAACUUCUUCCUAGUUUCAACACAUACUAUAGCUGCCGGGUCAAAAGUUCGCUCUGAAAUUUUCAUCCACGUUAACGGUUAAUUCCCAAAAUCCUGAGUAAAUAUAGCAUCGCUCUGGUCUUGUUCCCAUUGUUGAACUAAGCCAUUAUAAGCCAAAUAUGCCACCUCUUCAUAUUGGAUACGUAGGACAUGGUAUGGGAACUCCCAAGUCGUCUUCAACUCUCCGCCACAACCUAAGCAAUGUGAUCGCAUAACAUUCUUUUCUAUAUUAUGUGCAUAUAUAUAUAUAUAUAUUUAGUAACUUUGAAAUAUUAAAUUUUCAGUUCAUAUGGAAAUGUUAUGCGAUCACAUUGCUUAGGUUGUGGCGGAGAGUUGAAGACGACUUGGGAGUUCCCAUACCAUGUCCUACGUAUCCAAUAUGAAGAGGCGGCAGAUUUGGCUUAUAAUGGCUUAGUUCAACAAUGGGAACAAGACCAGAGCGAUGCUAUAUUUACUCAGGAUAUUGGGAAUUAACCGUUAACGUGGAUGAAAAUUUCAGAGCGAACUUUUGACCCGGCAGCUAUAGUAUGUGUUGAAACUAGGAAGAAGUUGGAAGUGAUUAUGACAACCGAUCUGCAUAGCAGGAGUCACGUAGAUUUCAUCGAUUAAAAGGAAAUCAUGGUAUUCCUUGUUUUAGCAAUUUCAUGUUCCUAACUAUUCUUUCACUUACUAACAACUCUUCUUUUAUUUAACUUGUGUUAAUAUUUUUAUGUUUUUUAUUUUAUGUAUUUUCAGGUCCAAACAUUGAUAAAUGAUCUUUGGAAGAGUGCAACAAGAAGAUUGACAAAGUAUAAAGACCAAGAAAUUUGUCUGUUCGAAGGAUUGAACUCUUUAGUUAUUUGCAAAGUUUAUUUGAAGAGGAGUGCAUUACAUUGAAUUCUUUAGUUAUCUGGAAAGUUUAUUUUAAAUGAAAAGUGCAUUGCUUUUACUUAUAGCAAAAGAUUAUGAUGGUGCAACAAAGUUCAUUUGGAUGUCUUAGAAUAAUAUAAAUACAUUACACACAUAUAUUCUAUAUUAAGUACAUAUAUAUAUUUUAUUUAGUUUUUCUUUUAAUAUCAAAUUUUCAGUUCAUAUGGACAUGUUAUGCAAUCACACUGUUUGGAUUGUGGCGAAGAGUUACAACUUGGGAUUUUCUGUAACAUGUCGUGCGUUAUCCAAUAUGUGAAAGUCCAAAGGCGGCAACGUUUUGGCUUAUAAUGACUUAGAUGAAAGGAUGACAACAAAACUAGGGCGGUUCUAUAUUUACAUGGGAUUUUGGGAAUCAAUCGCUAACGUGGAUUAAAACUUACCCAGAAGCUAUUGUAUGUAUUGAAACUAGGAAGAAGCUAAAAACAAUUACGACAACUGACCCGCAAAGCUAGAGUUACGCACAAUUUCAACAAUUGAAGAGAAAACAUAGCUUCUAAGUCACCAGUAUCCUUUUUCUUUUGUUUCCAUGUCACUAAAAACUGGCUAAAUGGAAUUCGAAAAGAGCAAGAAGAAAACUUAUAGAUUAGAAGAUCAAGACACAGGAUUGUAUGUCAUUAUCAAUACAUAAUGAUGUCUGGGUUUCUAAAAUUUAAGUGAAUCAACUUUAAGCUAACCAAAUUAGGUUUUAAUGGGCCCCUAUUUUGGCUGGUCAUACCUUGAUGUGAGCAUUAAUCACCGCUUAAUUACUUCAAGCAUCGACUUUGCAUUUUUCACCUUUUUCUUUGAGAAGAUCUGAUGCGGUUAGUUAUGCCCCGUCAAAAAGUAUUGUCUGCAACUAGUUUCAAACUAGGCCUUAGUAUAGCAAAGAAAACAAUCUUACAAACUCAACCAACCCUCGUUGGCCUCACUUUUUAAAUUUCCUUCAACAAGUUCAACUUUCUAAAGGUAAUAUAAAUGUUACAAACAAAUUACACAUUGAUGCCAAUACAUUACAAUUAGCAACCCAUUUUUCAAAUUUUUUAUCUUUAGAAAUAGAUCAAUACUACUUAAAAUCUUGAAAAUGACGAGUUUGCAACGAAUUUGUCCCUCACCACUUUAGUGUAAAUAUAUCAUUGUAUUAAAAAAAUGAUGCAAUGCACCAAACUGUUAAACAAAAACUGGAAUGCAGUGUCUAACUCGAGUUCAAUUCUUUAUGAAAAAUUUUAGUGAGGUGUUUUAUUAUUAUGCGAGUUAUGAUAAAUUAGGUAAAAAAAUAGAGGUCUAAAACAAUCUCACAACUUGGGAAUUAAAACCAGUGCGUCUUUUCUUUUGAAAAAUAAGACAACAUCACUUCCCAAAAGUAACCGAUAAUGGCAUGUGAGCCAUGUUAGGGAAGCAGCAAGGCAUUUACUACUUUUUCCUGCAAAUCACUUCCCAAAAGUAACCGAUAAUCCCAAAAGUAACAGAUAUAAUACAAGAGUAAUCCUGAAACGUUAAAUCUCAUUAUCAUUUUACAGAGAGUUUCUAGCCUUUCUUGCUAAAAGCGCUUAAUUCACAUCAAAUUUGAAUUUUAUGUCUCAAAUUCAAUAAACAAACGAAUGUAAGGCGAACAUUGUUAUACAAGUAUGUGAAAUUUUUUAUGCAAUUGGAUUUGGCACUGAAGCGACUUUAACGGUCAAAAGUAUGUGAAAUUUUUAUAUGAUAACAGUCUUUGAGUAACUAUGCUCUAUGUGUUGCAUUAUUGUUAGGUUACGACCCAACAUAACAGAAUAACAGGAUGUAUCGUUAGCAUAUAUACGUUGCGUUCACACAUGCCGACUUGGUUGAUCGAAAGAGAAACAAAAAGGAAACCCAAUUUCCCCCAAUUUUCCCAGUAGUUGCCUACUAUCCAAAGAAACCCAAAAAACCCAGCUGCAACAGAUCCCAAAAAAAACCAAUUAAACACAGAAAAAUUGGGGGAAAAUGUUAGAGAAUUGGUAAAAAUUGGGAUUUUUAUGCAAACCACCACACAUUCAUGCAAUUCUACACAAUACAGUAAACAAGAGAGGGAAAGGACAGAGAGAGACCUCAAGUAACUUGGCUCACUGUAAUGAACUGAUACCACCACCAGCACUAGAACUACCACCUGCAGAAAGAAUACAAGUCAUGAACCAAAGAUUUCCCACAAAAUAUUCCAAAAUACAAGCUUAUGAAACAAAAUAAAAUCAGAUCUACGGCUCUACCAAAACCCCCUUUUCCUUUCACCGGAGCGGAGAAACACAGAAACAAGAAACAAAGAUUUCCCACAAAAAUACUACAAAAUAGAAGCAUAUGAAUGAAAAAGGAUCAGCUCUAUGGCACUACCUCAAAACCCCAUUUUCCUUCCGAUGGAGCGGGAAGAGAGGGAGGAUCAUGGUGAGUUUAUCUCAGCCAAAGCCUCUGGAUACCAAGAAGAAGGAUAAAAAAUUAGAAAAAAUACAAAAUGAAACAAAUGAACACUACAUAUCAUAUAACCUGAUCCAGCAUGAACUCAGUUCUACCCAAUUAAAUACAUUUCUGUUCACGAGUCAACCAUAGCCGAUUGGAACUUGCCUCCUACUAUCUCUCUUCCCUUUUUCACGGGGCAGUCUUCAGUCCUGUGGUCAUAAGUAGAAGAACAAAUCCUGCAAUAAUUACCAACAGCUUUUCCUACCCAUUCCUCACCAGGAUGGCCACCCUCUUUUUGACAACAUAUGCAAACGAGUUUACCGCCGGGGCCAACUUUUUCACCCUUUGGGACAUAGUACCGGUACGGACAAAUUGGAACCACAUGAUCCUCCCUCAAACAGAGUCGACAUCUCACGUCAUGAACAACAGUUGAAGAGUCUGCACAAGCAUUCAAGUUAGUCGAGCAUGCUAAUCCUAACUUUUGACACCAUAAACAUGUGACAUGCCCAAGUAAAUAUCAAUGACUAAACUGUGUUUCUAAUACCGAAAGAGGACUAUGUGAGUACUUCAAAUAGGGACUGCAAAGGGGUGGAUUGGGGCCAGACUAGCUAAACUUCCCCAAAACCCUGUCCUUGCAAGUCCAAUCGAAUUAAAGAUUCCCCAUACACAAAAUCCGUCAGGUAAUGGAUCCCCAUCAGUUAAAGGUUUUACCUAUCAUCAUCAUAUCAACAAAAAGUUGUUUUGAAUAGUUAAUUAAGAACCGUCACACACUAAUAUUAUCUGCAUGACCCUUUCAAAGUUGUCAAAAAAGAUUUAUGAACCAAACUAAAUAAACACUAAAGGCAUAAAUUAAAAAUAGAAAUAAAAGCUAAAUACAUAAUAACUGUAUUUUUUGUUAUAUAAUAUCGCCGUCGGCAUCACUCUAUUGUUCACAAAUGGCUCGUUUCCCAGUGGCCUUCUCUGCACGUUCGGUCAAUAUGAGGAGGAACCCAAAAAACGAAUAAAAACUGGGGAGAGUCAGAGACCGAUAUUGAAUCAUAUACCCAAAACAGGUUUCUUAAAAACAGACCAGAGUCCACAGAUUUAAUGGGUUAGAUUGUCUUGCCUAACUUUAACAGUCAUUCCGCUAUUUCGAUCAUCAGUCUCGAGAGAUUAUGUUAUGUAAAAGAGAGACGCGAUCAUGGUUGCACCAUCAUCAAAUGAAUCGCCCAGCCUCACCAAAAUGUAAAAGGGAGAAGAAAUAGCAGAGAAAAAAAUACAAAAAACAUACCAAAACGCGGGCAUUGCUUAGUCAUGUGGUCAUCGCUCUUCUUACAAAUUCUACAGUAGAUGGGAGGCGGGAUAUGUGGUUGGAGACAAAACCAUCGACCCGUUUUUGGUUUGUCAUCUGUCUGUGCUUCCGCUGUAAAAUAAUUACACAAACUUAAUAUCAACAUGGAUGAAUAAUAUGUACUGUUUCCCGUAUUUGUACAAAAGAAAAGAAAAAAAACACUCUUCAUCUUCCUCAUAAACUGAAAAAUUCAGAGAUUGGCACACCCGAAUCACAAACAAAAAUCGAAUAAAAUAAUAAACCUGACUAGUCUUGUUAAUUCGGGGGACAUACUGGUGUUCUUCCUUUCUUUGAGGGAUGAUCUUCGUGCCCUUAUCUCACUCAAUUCUUUUUUCGCUGUUAAAUACACAAAAUUUAAAGAAAUAAUAUCUGGGAUAUAGGCUUGCUUGCAAAAUUAAUCACAAAACCCUAAAAUUAAAUCAAAGAAAAAAAAAAACAUCAAAACCAUACCAGUCAUUCGAGCAUUAUAGUUUUCCUCGAUAGCAAAAUAAACCUUUCCCGGGGGGAAGUCCUCGAAUUCAUCAUCAUCGCUAUCGUCCCAGUGCCAUAUGAGCUUCCCCCGCUUGCGCAGCUCGUCUGCGUUCGGUGGUAAGUCCGGGAUCGGGCCCUGGAGCGAUUCUAGAUCUGGACUCAAGAGUUUUUGUUUCUUGCUCUGGCGCUCGGACUCGUUACCGCUCUGGCUCAUGGCUGUGUGCGAAAGAGAGAGGAGAUUCCGGUGGGGAGCCUGGCCUUGUGAAUAUAAGGGUUUGUUUUUCCCUUUUUCAUUAUUAUUUUUAAUUUCUGUUUUUGGUAAAGGUAUAAUCGCACACUCAGAAAUCGAAGAGGCACCUACUUUUCUAGCCUUGUUAGCACCUGUCACACGCACUCAGUUUUGCAGAAAUUAUGGGCAUUCUGUCGAAGACUUCUGGUGAAGUAGAAAGCACAUGAAUCUUACUGUUCAAUCACCCACUUCCCACACGCAACAAUAGCUCAUGGGUACCACAGAUAACUUUGCCAAAGUUCUCUGCCAAAGUUGAGCACGUGAAGCUUGCAGCUCCCACUACAUCGCUCUGACCAAGAAAGGUAAAAAAAUAGCAAAGAAACAGCACUAACAAAGUUUAGACACAUAAAUUUUGAAGGUCUAGCUACCAUAUUAUUACCCACAAGGGUAAAGGAACAGUACCACUGCCGGAUAAUUGGAAAGUCCCUGUGUCAACCUCUGUGCUUCGUGGCAAGGUAGACUAGCAAACAUGCCCAACCUUUACUCACAUUCGAGAAAACACUCCCAACAAGAUUGCUUGCUCCAAAAUCGAAGAGGCACCGUCCUCCGAAUCUCGAGAGCCAGACUCCCAACAUGACUACUUUCUCAAAAGCGAAGAGAGGGUAAAGGAACAGUACCAUUGCUGGAUAAUUGGAAAGUCCCUGUGUGUCAACCUUUGUGCUUCGUGGCAAGGUAGACUAACAAACAUGCCCAACCUUUACUCACAUUCGAGACAACACUCCCAACAGGAUUGCUUGCUCCAAAAUCGAAGAGGCACCGCCCUCCGAAUCUCGAAAGCCAGACUCCCAACAUGAUUACUUCCUCAAAAAUCGAAAAGACACUGCUCUCCGAAUCUCGAGAGCCAGACCCCCAGCAUGAUUGCUUUCUCAAAAAUCGAAGAGGCAUCGUUCUCCGAAUCUCGAGAGCCAGAUACCACAGACCACUUUUUCAAACUGCUCUGACAGAGUUAAAACAUGUGAAACUGGCAGCUCCCACUACCGUGCUAUGACCAAGCAGGGUAAAGGAAUAGCAUUACUACUUGUUGUUAGGGAGAUUCCUAUAUAUGUCGACCUCCAUCUCCAACGGACAGGCAGGCCUGCAAAAAUGCUCAACCCUUCAUCAUAUCUGAGAGGGCACUCCCAACGAAGCCUUUCGAAAUAUUCAGCUUUCUUUCCCCCCGAUAAUACCUCUGCAAACAAGCUAUACUAGAGCAAGAAUAUCUCAUAUCAUCAGGGUUAAAAGCAAGAGUAUCCCAUAUCAUGUUUUUUUCGUCUUUUCCUUUGGCCUUGUUUUUACCUGCAAGACAAGGAGAAAGAGAGCAAUCAGUCAGCACUUGGAAUCAAGCUUCCAGCCAGAAACUGACUGCCUGGAACCCCUUACCUGAUUACUUAUCUGGCAUUGCUCUCGAGUACUCAUCUUCAACAUCUUAUGUUUCCAGGGAAGAUUCCGCAUCUGCUUGAGGAACAGAUAGGGCAAGUGCGAAGGAUACAAGGAAGCAUGUGGAGACAAGCGUAACAGCACACGUGCCGAUACAUCCAUUACUCUGUCAAAAGCAAAAGUAUCACAUAUCAGCAGGGUGGAACGUACUCUAGAUUUGAUGGACUUGUUUUGACCCUCAAAUUCUUCAGUCGGCCUUAUACUCUGGAGGAAACCAGAAAACCCUCCAGCUCAGUUCAAGAAUAAGCCUGUGGAAAGUUACUUCUUCAAAAGCAAAAGUAUCUCAUAUCAUCUCUUCUCAUUUUUCUUCUCUUUAUCCUUCAUGCUGCUGCAAGAUGGGGAGAAGGUGAACAAUCAGUCGGAGCUCUGAUUGCUUACCUUGUCUGUCACCUCUUUCAGCAGACCCCGUAGCUCGGCGACUUGGGGGACUCCUACUACAUGGUUUGUAUCGCGCUUGACCAAGCCUGAAACUACAAGUAAGCUUCAAGUGAAAUUGAUACAUUACCUUAUGCAUCUCCACCAGUUAAAGAUACCAUCCCUGGAUGGAGGAAGAGUACUUCCAGAGAAGAUGCCACAUCUACCUAUGAGACAGAUAAGGCAAGUCAAGACGACACCACACUCCGAUACUUAGAAGUUUCGUGAUUACGAGAUCAUUCUCACACAAUAUUUCCUAAUGUCAUUUGUACUAAAUCAUUCACUUGUACUCACUAAAGGAGAGCUUGAACCUAUGUACUUGUGUAAACCCUUCACAAUUAAUGAGAACUCUUCUAUUCCGUGGACGUAGCCAAUCUGGGUGAACCACGUACAUCUUGUGUUUGCUUUCCUAUCUCUAUCCAUUUAUAUACUUAUCCACACUAAUGACCGGAGCAAUCUAGCGGAAAUCACAAAAAGCGACCGUUUUCGCUACCUAGGAUCUAUCUUGCAAGAGAACAGAGAAUUAGAUGGAGAUCUCAACCAUAGAAUACGAGCUGGAUGGAUGAAGUGUAAGAGUGCAUCCGGCGUGUUGUGUGACCGUCGUAGGCCACUGAAGCUCAAGGGAAAAUUUUAUAGGACGGCAAUAAGGCCAGCGAUGUUGUAUGGCACAGAAUGUUGGGCGGUGAAGCAUCAACACGUACACAAAAUGGGUGUAGCGGAGAUGAGGAUACUUCGUGGGAUGUGUGGGCACACGAGAAAGGAUAAGAUUGGGAAUGAGGAUAUCCGAGGUAAAGUAGGAGUAGCCGAAAUUGUAGGAAAGAUGAGAGAAAAUCGGCUCCGGUGAUUUGGACAUGUGCAAAGAAGGCCGACUGACGCUCCGGUUCGAAGAUGUGACUACGGGACAGAGGUUCAGGGCCGAAGGGGUAGAGGAAGACCUAGGAAAACUUUGGAAGAGACUCUAAGAAAAGACUUGAGUACUUGGAUCUAACGGAGGACAUGACACAAAACCGAGCGCAAUGGCGUUCUAGGAUUCAUAGCCGACCCCACUUAGUGGGAAAAUGCUUUGUUGUUGUUGUUGUUGGUAAAGGUAUAAUCGCAUUGGAUUUUGAAUUUUUUUUUACUAACAUGUGAAUGUGGUAUGUGUACCAUUACUCAUAAAUAAUAUGUUUUGUUAAUGCGAUAAGGUUAUUAUCAAAUAUAAUCACAUUGAAAAUAAAUUUUUUGAAACUAUAUUUUAGGUCAGAUUUGACCUGUGUCAAUAAAUUUAACGAUUAGAUAUAAAUAUCUGAACUUGUGUAGAAGCUAAUCCAACAUUUUGAUAUGGUUUUCUUAUUGUUUUUCAUAAUCGUUUGACAUAUUAUCUGCUUGUGAUAUCUUGAAAACAGAGGAUGCCCACUACAGUAGCAGUUAUUCUAGUUGAUGAGGGCACCAUAUUUGCAGUGGAUACUCGGGUUUCUACGAGAUUAAUGAAACUAAAUCUCAUUAUAUCAUGAUGAGGAUAUGAGUUUAACUCAAGACUAUUUAGUUUGAAGUGUGGGACACGAGGAAAUAAUCGAAGUUUGUUUGAACAUUUGGAUAAACAUGUGCAAAAGCCUUUUAAAACAGGUAAUGCACCUUAUAGCUAUAUAUAUAUAUGUAUAUUAUAAGAUCAUGAGACUUUGAAUUAAUGUAGGACAUAAACCUUAUCGUUGAAGGAUUCGCAACGAAAACUAUGCGAUUCAUAGAUAAUACAGGGAGAUGUCUUUGAAAUUGCCAACUUUUUUGUAGGAAGUGAUUCCGAUGCGACUCAUUCAAUAGUCAGGUUUAUAUUCUACAUUAAUUCAAAGUCAGAUGACAUUGUAAUAUAAUAUUAUAUAUAUAUAUAUAUAUAUAAGGUGCAUUUCCUGUUUCAAAAGGUUUCGCACAUGUUAAUCCAAAUAUUCAAACAUACUUCAAUUAUUUCCUUGUAUCCCACAAUUCAAACCAAAUGGUCUUUAGUUAAACUCAUGACCCUCAUCAUGAUAUCCAUGAGAUUCAGUUUCACUAUUCUCGUAGAAACCCCUAGCAUCCACUGCAAAUAUGGCGCCCUCAUCAACUAGAAUAACUACAACCGUAGUGGGCAUCCUCUGUUUUCAAGAUAAAAGAAUAAAGUAGGUAAUUAAAAAAUUCCCAUCACAAGUAGAUAAUAUGUCAAACAAGAUUAUGAAAAACAAAGAAAAUAAGAAAACCACAUCAAAAUGUUGGAUUAGCUUCCACACAAGUUCAGAUAUCUGCAUACGUGUAACUACAUAAUGACUUAAACUCCAUACUUUGAAGAUCAAGGUUUCAUUUCACAUACUUCAUAACAAACCUUUUAUCUAUAUAAGCAAAUCCUUUAACAAGAGGAGUUUAUGAGUACAAUUGAAAUUGACAUUGAAACGUUCUCAUACAGUCAAAGCAAUGAUAAAAGCAAGCAACUUUUGAUUGGAGCUGCAAUUUCACAAACAUAAACAACAUAAGAGUUUUAAAUUUGUCCCUACUCCUUCAGACACCACAAGAGCAAAAGACUAUCUAUCUUACAAUUCCCCUCCCACCCCCGACUCAGACGUGUACAAAAUCCCCAUAACACAGCAACUUUGAGGAAGAUAAACAACAACAGGGGAAACAAAAAGGAAAUUAAGAAAACCCCACUUUCAAAUUAGAAGUAGAAACCCAAUUUCCGACAAAUCAAUCAGUAAACCUUCAAUUACAAAAUAAAAUUCCAAAGAAACCUAAAUCCAAUCAAACAGAAAAGAUAACAAAGAAAAGGAAGAUAGUCAACACUCCUUCCUUUUGUGAUGUUUAACAUACAACAAUGUGUUACAUGUCUUACAGUCUUAUCGUCAAAAUGUAAGACAUGCCACACUAUUCAGACAACCCAAGGAGGACUACAACAGCAAGCAAAAAGAAAUAUUCAAAUAGCAUUAAAGGAAAUAUGCACUGACAAAUAAAGAAGACAACCACAUCAGCAAUCUCAAUAAACAACAUUUGACAAAUAUCAUGUUCUGUGAAAUGCAUUUGAAUGAACCCUUUGAAACUUUGUACUAUAUAAUCACUUUCAAGAGAAUCAUAACUAAAUUAAUUUAUCAUAUUAGCCUUUAAAUCUUAUACACUUAUACAAUAAUCUCUAUUGUCAUUCAUAUUAGCCUUUAUCAUAUUAGCCUUCAUAAACCUGCAGCCGCAAAACUUGAUCAGGUUCAGAGACAUUGCCACCAUUGUAAGGGUCACAACUUUCAUAUUUCUACUUAUGUACAAACACAUGAAGAUAUUUCUUAUAUCAAAACAUCAGGUCAUGUAGUUUUUUUAGCUGAGGAGUUGUUGUUAGCAUAUCUAACGGUGAAAGUAUAUGCUUCAAUCAUGUAGAAUCUCAUAUUUACAUGGUUGUUAGCUUGGUCAACAAUGUAAUCCUUCUCAAGAACUUCAACUUUCAAGGAUUAUUGGUAUUCUAAAAUCAUAUCGUCGCUCUAGUUGCAGGAGAUGCUGGAUUCAAACAUCACUCUAAACCCCCUAACCACCACUUAUUAAACUUAAGAGAUACAAGGUGAAGAUGCACAUGUAUGAAUAUCUAAAAACCACCGAUAAAAAUAAACUCAAUAAUCCCAGCUGCAACAGAUCUCAAAAACCACCGAUAAAAAUACAGAAAUGACAAUCCAACCAACCACCACACUUCAUGCAAUUCUACACAAUACAGAAAACAAGAGAGAGCAAGUUACAGAUAUAUUACCUCAGGUAUAAUACAACAGAUAUAAUACAACAGUAAGGCAUUUUACUACUUUUUCCUGCAAAUCUGUAAUGUCAGACCACAACCACAGAUAUAAUACAACAGUAAUCCUGAAACGUUAAAACUCAUUAUCAUUUUACAGAGAGUUUCUAGCCUUCCUUGCUAAAAAUUCACAUCAAAUUUGAAUUUUAUGUCUCAAAUUCAAUAAACAAACGAAUGUAAGGCAAACAUUGUUAUACGAGUAUGUGAAAUUUUUUAUGCAAUUGGAUUUGGCACUGAAGCGACUUUAACGGUCAUAACAAGUAUGUGAAAUUUUUAUAUGAUAACAGUUUUAGAGUAACUAUGCUCUCUGUGUUGCAUUAUUCUUAGGUUACGACCCAACAUAACAGAAUAACAGGAUGUAUCAUUAGCAUAUAUACGUUGCGUUCACACAUGCCGACUUGGUUGAUCGAAAGAGAAACAAAAAGGAAACCCAAUUUCCCCCAAUUUUCCCAGUAGUUGCCUACUAUCCAAAGAAACCCAAAAAAACCCAGCCGCAACAGAUCCCAAAAAAAAACCAAUUAAACACAGAAAAAUUGGGGGAAAAUGUUAGAGAAUUGGUAAAAAUUGGGAUUUUUAUGCAAACCACCACACAUUCAUGCAAUUCUGCACAAUACAGUAAACAAGAGAGGGAAAGGACAGAGAGAGACCUCAAGUAACUUGGCUCACUGUAAUGAACUGAUACCACCACCAUCACUAGAACUACCACCUGCAGAAAGAAUACAAGUCAUGAACCAAAGAUUUCCCACAAAAUAUUCCAAAAUACAAGCUUAUGAAACAAAAUAAAAUCAGAUCUACGGCUCUACCAAAACCCCCUUUUCCUUCCACCGGAGCGGAGAAACACAGAAACAAGAAACAAAGAUUUCCCACAAAAAUACUACAAAAUAGAAGCAUAUGAAUGAAAAGGGAUCAGCUCUAUGGCACUACCUCAAAACCCCAUUUUCCUUCCAAUGGAGCGGGAAGAGAGGGAGGAUCAUGGUGAGUUUAUCUCAGCCAAAGCCCUCUGGAUACCAAGAAGAAGGAUAAAAUAUUAGAAAAAAUACAAAAUGAAAAGCAUUGGAUUUAAGGAAAUCAGAUAUGUUCCCCUACCUCAAAAACUCCAUUUUGCUUGCACCGAAGUGAAACACAGAGAGAGAGAGAGAGAGAGAGAGAGAGAGAGAGAGUGAGAGUGAGCGGCAAAGAGAGGAAAAUGUUUCUAGGGUUUGUCUCAGUCUGCCUUUUGGAGACAAGAAUAACAUUUAUAUAUAGGGAUGAGAUAAGGACAAAGAUUUUGAAGAUAUUUUUACACUAGUUUGUAGCUUUUAGAUCUUAUAAUAUUCAACGGUUUUGAUCAAAAGUUAUAUAAAAACUUUUAAAAUUUUAAACCAAAAAUGUGGUAGUAGAUGAUUGAAUUGGGGAUGUGAUAUCCACACAUCUCAUUUUAUUUUUCACACACUUUUUUAAUUUUUGGUCGUCGGAUCGGAUAAAUUGAAGAAGAUCAAUAGACAGAAAUUAUCAAGGGGUGUGUGAGAAGUAAAAUGGGUUGUGUGGAUAACACACCCCUUGAGUUAUUAUCUAAAUGUCGAUUAACUUUUGUCAGUAGUUAUAUUAAGCUAUUGAAAUAACACUUAAUUACUUCCUUCUUUUGGUCAACAUGGUGAGUAAGAUUUUAUGUUCAUCUACCACUUUAUAUCAAGAAUUGCGAUUAUUAUUUAAAAGAACAUUCAUUUAUUCUAUCCCCAACCUUUAUAACAAAAUUCAAAGCGGGUGAUAAUGCAUUUCAAAUAUCGAACUGUCAAUGAUAGUAACUACAUUGGAGCAAAAUACAAUGAGAAUUUUUUUUUAAUUUACUAUUAGUAUUUGUAAAUGAGAAGGAGAGAGGGAGAGAGAGGGAACGUGGGGGGGGGCAAGUUUUUUUUUGGUUUUUUUUUUUAAAUAUUGAAUGUAUUUUAACAUCACUUAUAGAUAAGGCUUCAAUAAAAAACAGUAAAAUUUGGACCUAUAAAUUACAUUAUUGAUAAAAAAAACUAAGUAGUAUUUUCACUUUCUUUUAAUUGAUAAAAAAGAUUUCAUUAAUUAAUAAAGAUUAUUAAGAAAGAAAGUAAAUUUAAAAUUAUUACAUUAAUUUAAUAGAAAUAUAAUUUCAAACCAAAAAACUCAACACAUAAUGAGAAUUGUCCUUAGCCUACGGGGAGACUUGUCUGGUUAUAGGACUUGGAUUCUCUGCCCUCCCAAUUCGGUACCCUCCCCGUCAAUAUUUUAUAUUACUAUUUAUUUUUUGUCUUAUUAUUUUUAUAAAAAAAAACAAUAUAAAAUGUUAGCAUGAAUUAACCAUGAUCACACAAAACAGGAGGACACGGAGAGGGGACCGAAUUGGGAGGCCAUAGAAUCCAAGUCCCUGGUUAUAUACUCAAUGAAUCAUUAGCUGCCAGCUGCCAGUUUACAUACUAAAUGAAUCAUUGGCUGCCAGCUGUCAAACCUUAUCUGCAAUGGUACUUUAGCCCUUGAUCACACAGGAAAAUAAAAUAAAAUAAAAUAAAAAAGAAAAAGACAAAAGCUUUGCAUGUCAAAGUAGUUGGGAUUCUGACAGUCACAUGUAUUGGACCUCACGUACUUUCUCAAUACUAACCUUUAUUUGCUGAGAAAUUCUUAGUUGUGACGAAAAUAUGAAUAAUAUAUUAUGUAUUUUUAUGUAAAUAGUAAAAAUAUUUAAUUUUAAUUUAUUAACUUUUUAACACAUAUAUCACAUUAUUUAUAUAAAGACACAUAAUAUACCAUCUCGUGUGACAGUUACAUUGAAAGAAAAUUCCUAUUUACUAUACUUCCUGCCAAAAACAAACAUAAAGCCGAGAUGGUCCCCAACAAUAAGAGAACCUUUAUUCAAGGACGUCGUACUUAAAAUAUUCCUCCAUGAAGAGAAUUUUUUUAGAAGUUUUAACGAAAAGUUCGUGUUAUUGUUCAUUACAUUAAAAAAUUAAAUCUGGUACUAUACAUUUUACUAUUUAUUUUGUCCUUAUCAUUAAAACUCAAAGUUUUCAAACCUUUUUCAUUAGUUUUUCUAAUUUUUUUUUUCCUUCCUAACUUCUUUCAUUAGGCUUUUUUUCUUAUGAACGAAUAUAAUUUUUUAUUGAGACAAUAAAAUAAAAAAAUAAUGUGUAAAAGAAGAGGAGGGAAAGGAAGGGAAGGAGAAUAAGAGAAGAAAUAAUCCUACUCCCUGUAAUAUAUAUGGGGCAAGAAAAAAUACUUUUGCUCUUCAUAGAUUAUUAUACUUAGAAGUACCGACUUAAAUAUCGCAUAUUUGGAAAAAUUUCUUCAUCAAUAAAAUUUUGUUAAACUACCUGGCAUUCUACUAUCGUAAUACAAAUAGAAGAACACAUAAAAAUAUAGGGGUGUGCUAUCCACACACCCCAAAUUACUUCUCACACACCUCUUGUUAAUUUCUAUCCGUUGAUCUUCUUCAAUUCAUCCGAUCCAACGGUCGAAAAUUAGAAGGGUGUGUGAGAAGUAAAAUGGGGUGUGUGGAUAUCACACCCCAAAAUAUAUAGCCAGCUAGGGUUAGCUAGAUUAAUUGACUUUCAGUUCAGUCGCCAGCUAGCUAGCUUAGGCUAUAUAAUUUCCAAAACAAGAGAUCAUCUAGGAGCUGCUAAUUAAGCCGAAAAAUACUGUUACAAAUGGAAAUAAGAGGCUUUGAUUUCGAACAUUGAUAAGACAAAAGGUUAAUUUAACAAGAUUUUAUUCAUAAUAAACGAUAACUAAUUCUCAUAACCAAACAUAAUUAAGCAUAUGAUAAAAAUAAGAACAUGAACUAAAUGUUCAUAGAUACAUAGUAUAACCAAUACACGUAAUUUUUUGCUAAUAGUGUUUCAUCAUAGAUACAUAGUAUAACCAACAUACGUGAUUCUUUGCUAGUAGUGUUUUACUGUAACGUUGCAUUGUGUAACAAAAUAUGCAUUUGGAAUGUCCACAAAAACCGUAUUACACGUAAUAAAUCCUCGAACAAAUCGAAACUUUCCGGUACCUGAAACAACCGAUAAUUCUCUAUGUUGCUCGAAUUGCUUAUCAAUUCCUUGUAUCUGUAGAGUGCUUCCAUUGUACUUCUUGUUUGUGAAUAAAAUUGAUAACAUAUCGUAGGAAUUACGUCCAUCCAAUGACGAUACCAUAAACAUGCCUUGUAUCCGGCCAACGGAGGCGGAUUUUAGGUCCAUGCCCUCCGUUAAAGGGGCAUCCUCCGCAUAAACAGUGGCAAAUUGAUUGUAGUUCCAAGUCUUGCCGGGAAUACCUGCAAACGCAACAUCUGUGAUAUUUUGCACCAGAUAAGAAGUCAUGAGCGUAGAAAGACAGGUGGGUUUCCUUGAACUCGUGAGUGGCUCGGAUCGCUGGAAAUGUAGUCAUGGCUAGAAUAACCAUGACGAAAAACAUGGAUGGAGCGCUGAGCUUUGGUAUGAAUUUUAACGCCAUUAGUGGAUGCAUGACAGCUAAUUGAGCAAACAAGAGAAAAGGUUAAUUAGGAAAAAUUAGGGAACAAUUAAGGUUUUGAAACUGCUUGGUGAGGUUCAGUCAUGGGUAUGCUUUCAAUUUCUUGUUGAACAAAAAAGAGUAUACAAGAUAACUCUAAUUAUUCCAAGAAGAAGAAAAUAAAGCACACUCUAAAGAAAGCUCACAAAAACACUAAUUAGCAAAGCUUUUCUUAUUUAGCACUUAGCUUUGUUUUUCCUUUGGAUGAUUUACAAGGCUUGGGGACUUGGGUAUUUAUAGCAAACCAAAUGAAAGCUACUUAAUUAAACUAAGAUUAUUUACUACCACACAAAACACAUUAAUUGCACCUAAUUAUUUUUUCCACACAACCAUACCUAACAUUGCCUAACAUUGCUUAACUUUGACAUUGACUAACAUUGACUAACUUUGCCUAACUUUGACAUUGACUAACAUUGCCUAACAUUGCCUAACUUUGACAUUGAUUCUCAACAUUUAUAACAUGAAAAAUGUUGGUAUUCAAAGUUUACUAACUCAAUACCAAAAAAUGUGGGUGAUAAGUUUUCUAACUCUAUCACAUCUCUCACUUUCACUCUCAAUUAAAAUUGGACAAAAGAAAGAAAGAUGCAGUAAGUUUUGAGAAAAAUAUUCUGAAGAGUUUACAACUUUUAUUUCUAGAAUAGGAUUACUUCAAACGUACAUAACCAAAGACUAAUACAUGCAAAAACAAAAGAACCCCACAAGUGGCUUUAAUAACAAUACAAAACAACGACUUUCUAAACCUAGUGUUGAAAUCUAUCAAAGCAAAACAAAUGAAUGUGUUCAAAAAAGUCUUCACACCCUUUUAACACUUUGGCCACUUCAGACACACACAAAAGCUAUCAAAGAAAAUACACGUAUAACUGUUGAAAAAACAAGGCAGCUAGCUGAAAAGUGUUCCACCAAUUAUGGCCCCUCAAUAGCUGUUGAUUUGAACUCCCAACACGCCGCCUCAAAUCAAAAUGCCUAGCAUUUCACGCAGCAACUUGAAUGACUUAACCGGCAGUGGCUUUGUGAAGAUGUCUACCACUUGUUCCUUGUUGUGACAAUAGACAAGCUCAAUUGUCUUUUGCUUCAUAUGGUCCCUCAUAAAAUGGAACCUGGUAUCAAUGUGUUUGCUCCUUCCAUGUUGGACUGGAUUCCUAGCAAACUUGAUAGCUGAAAUGUUAUCCACAUGAAUCACAGUCGAUUCCGCUUGUGGAUGACAUAAGGAUUUCAACAGAUUUCUUAACCAAAUUGCCUCACACACAGUUAAGGCUACAACAACGUACUAGCAUCGCAACUUUAGGGAGGGGGAGGUUCUAUUUGCUUUAGAGUCCACCACAUAAAUGGAAGGAGGUCUGUGAGAUUGUGACAGUGAGGUGCAGAGAAGAAGAGAGGUUGAGUGGCAGCAAUCCUGGCGGUGCUCAUGGCGAUUGGCUGGCGUUGACUGAGAUGAACAUCUUCUUCUUCGUUUCCCCUCCUUCUGUUCUUCCCCUUCCUUCCCACAAAACCCAAUUCCUCUGCCGACCACCAUGAACCACCACCACCACCUCUAGGUUCCAUCCAACCACCCAGAAUAAAACUCUUCUCUCCCUGCAUCUUCUUUUGGAUAUCGGAUCUCCCGACCUCUUCUCCGCCGCUGCAUCUCUUGAUGAAAUUGAAGUUCCACCAUAAAGCCAUGCAUCUCUUGAUGAAAUUGAAGUUCUACCAUAAAACCAAUUGGUAAUAUAGGGAGUAGCCCAAGACUAUAUAAGUACAUAGCAAACAUUGUCCCUCACCGAUGUGGGACAACUCUCAACACGCCCUCACACGUGUGGCGGAUUUUCAAGCCUACACGUGGACAACAACUGGGUGACGUGGAGCGUGUGUGGCCGUUUGGCUUCACACGAGGACAACCUCGCUCUGAUACCAUGAUGAAAUUGAGGUUUCACCAUAAAACCAAUUGGUAAUAUGGAGAGUAGUCCAAGACCAUAUAAGCACAUAGCAAAUCUUGUCCCUCACCGAUGUGGGACAACUCUCAACAUCUCCGACCCCUACAAACAAACAAAGAUUUGUCCCAAGAUCUUAGUUGAUAGUUAUGGCUUUCUCAUGUUCUCAAUCAUAAUUCUCUAUUGGUAAAUCAAGACAACAGUAUGUAAUGGCAAGUUAAGGAAAUUGGCAAGUAGGCAAGUUAGGCCUUAUUCUCUUCUAAUUCACAUCUAAUAAUUGAAAUAUUCAUUGUUAGUUUCACUCUCGUUAUUGAGCACUAUUAAUUUUUGGAUAUGAAAAGGGUCAACAUACCCCAAACACUUCAACACCGAAAAUCGCCUCGCAAAUAAGGUUGCAGUUAAGAGCAGUUAUCAAUGAUGAGGCCAUACCUUCUGACAUUAUCCCGAAAAUUCUCUUGACACCAGGAUAAACCCGUUAAAGAACCCGGAUCAACGGUCCGGAAGCUGCGCCAAGACGGCUCAGGAGGCAUCGUUAAGAGCCGAGACCUACAAAGCAUCGACCUGACAUUAUGUUUAUCGGUAUCCUCGUCGACAUCGACCAACCUCACAACAGACAGAUGCAGUUUGUCUGACCAAUUUCGUAUAUUUUAUCCAACAAUUCCAGUGCUUAAUCUACAACGUCGCCGAGCGUUCAAUUCUUCACUAUGCGCAGAGCUUCCGCUACUCUUUCUUGCAUCCGUCACACUCUUCGCUCACUGGCGGAUACAUCUAUAUUUAACGGAGGUUUAUGAGGACCAUCUGUCACUAAAUCUCGUCAAUCUGAGAGCCAUUUUUCUCUGAGCUUCUUAUUUGAAUGUUAUAUUUGAGGACAAGGUCCAAGGAACAAGCGGACAUAGAGAAAAUAAAGAUAAGUAAGAAAGAGGGAGAGGAGGAUGUUUGGCAUGAAAGGAAAGAGAAUCGACUUAAUCUAAAUACUUUCUAGACUCAUUUUGAAUGGUCUAAAAUCCGAGGUAUGCAAUAGUCUUCCGAUUCCGAGCGGCAGAUUUGAGUUAAGCUUAUCUGAAGUUCACAGUUGAGAUACAUAUUAAAAUCGUUGUUUGAGAAUAUCCAACUAGUUUUUCCACAUUAUUGGUUUGAUUACUGCAUACAACGCAUCGCGAUGGUGAUUUGUGCACAGUAGCAAAUUGGAUUGAGGCUAUGUGGAUAGUUGACAAGACCAUUAGGGAUUAGUUACAAUUCCAAGCGGCGUUGUACCACAUACUUUAACUGCCUAAUCAUAUGAUUUUCUUUCUUCUCUUUCUCUUCUCAUCUCGUAUGGCCACUAUUUCUCGGAUUAAUGCGCGUAGCAAAUAGGUGUAAUAGGGCAUUCGUAUUAUUUGGUAAGGUGGUCGCUUUAAGGUUUUAGUUGCGUUAUUGUGGCUCACCGUGAUUCUGUUUGGUACUAUUUGGGAAAUAAUAGAGUAUAAAUUAAAGGUGAGGGACAGUAUGGUAUACUGUUUUGAGGCUUGGAUUUUAAAAGAUCCUUAGUCGUGAAAAGAAACGAGGAUCGUUGUGCUUUUGAUGGUUGUGGCGAGACAGAGUAGUGAGUGAAUGGGGCUUGCCGAAAUCAUAGCAUCCGGUAGUCUGUAGCGGAGUGUAUGAACGACGGAUGCGCAGGAUUGUACUUCACGACGGCGAGAGACCUUAAUCUACAGAAAAUCAAAGAGCAAGGAGGUAUAAUGAGGUUUGAGGGUGCGAGGAGCUAGAUGAGCGCGGCUAUCUAGCAGUUCUCUGGUAACAAGAACCCAGAUGGGCUUCUGUGUGCGAGGGCAUCAUUUGUUUGCGACUGCACCGGAGAGCGAUGGUAUGUAGGAAGCAUAGCGAUGUCUCGAAGUGCGGGCCUCAGAUUUCUUGGUCUAUUGUAUGAAGCUAGUAAAAGAGGUCAUACUAUACUGCGCGGGACGCUCAGCGACAAAGAUCGUGCGGUGUCGAGGCCGCUAGCAGAGUGGAGGUUCGGUUCUUUGAACUUAUAUCACGAGGUGCACCAUUUAAACGUCCUGAGAGAGAAUAGACAGAAAGCUAAUAGGAGCGAGCACCAAAACCAAGUCUGUAUAGACACCAGAGUAUAAACGUGGAUUGAGCCUUCACAGCGGAGUCACUGCGAAUAAACACGCGCAUAUAACAAUAGAGCCUAGCCUAGUGUUAUCUUCUGCGAGAAACUGGUAACCAAUAAAGCAGGGGUUGGUCUACGGUUGCUGUCAGGGAACGCAUUAAUGCCCGAUAGACAUGCUAAAAAGGCUAGAACCCACACCACGCGAAUGAGCGUACCAAGAAAUCCAUUGACACAGAGAAGAGCACACC